This 65-nucleotide transfer RNA is filed under the name Dianemobius fascipes. RNAcentral describes it as "tRNA-Trp". RNAcentral also lists the same sequence under 1 other name. The record is from RNAcentral. Lineage: Eukaryota; Metazoa; Arthropoda; Insecta; Orthoptera; Trigonidiidae.
AAGGUUUUAAGUUAAUUAAACUAAUAGCCUUCAAAGCUAUAAAUAAAACUGUGUUUUAAGCCUUA